UGCAAUUUUUGGAUAAUCGCGUGAGAAUAUUUUAUUUUCAUGAGGAAAGUCCAUGCUAGCACGGGCUGUGACGCCCGUAGUGUUUGUGCUAGGUGAAACAAUAAGCCUAGGGACGGAAAUAUCCGUUACGGCGACUGAAAUGGCUAAGUCUCUCUGAUAAGUCAAACUAGGUCUGAAAGUGCCACAGUGACGUAGUUUUUGUGGAAACACAAGAAGUGGAACGCGGUAAACCCCUCAAGCUAGCAACCCAAACUUUGGUCGGGGCACGGAGUGCGUGGAAACGAACAUAGCAUUCUGACUGGAAACAGUAGACAGAUGAUUAUCGAAGGAAAUGAUACCUAGUUAUUUCUGGAACAAAACAUGGCUUAUAGAAAGUUGCAUAUA
Molecule: RNase P RNA, 384 nt
Filed under: Streptococcus intermedius
Lineage: Bacteria; Bacillati; Bacillota; Bacilli; Lactobacillales; Streptococcaceae
Description: bacterial RNase P
Rfam family: Bacterial RNase P class B
About the family: Ribonuclease P (RNase P) is a ubiquitous endoribonuclease, found in archaea, bacteria and eukarya as well as chloroplasts and mitochondria. Its best characterised activity is the generation of mature 5'-ends of tRNAs by cleaving the 5'-leader elements of precursor-tRNAs.
Source: RNAcentral